AUUGAACGCUGGCGGCAGGCUUAACACAUGCAAGUCGAGCGAGCGGCGGACGGGUGAGUAAUGUCUGGGAAACUGACUGGUGGAGGGGGAUAACUACUGGAAACGGUAGCUAAUACAGCAUACAAUCAGAUGUGCCCAGAUGGGAGUAGCUAGGAGGUGGGGUAAUGGCUCACCUAGGCGACGAUCCCUAGCUGGUCUGAGAGGAUGACCAGCCAAACUGGAACUUAGACACGGUCCAGACUCCUACGGUAGGCAGGAGUGGGGAAUAUUGCACAAUGGGCGAAAGCCUGCUGCAGCCAUGCCGCGUGUAUGAAGAAGGCCUUCGGGUUGUAAAGUACUGUUGUCGGGGAGGCGUUACCCGCAGAAGAAGCACCGGCUAACUCCGUGCCAGCAGCCGCGGUAAUUC
Molecule: ribosomal RNA, 406 nt
Filed under: uncultured bacterium
Lineage: Bacteria
Description: partial 16S ribosomal RNA
Rfam family: Bacterial small subunit ribosomal RNA
Source: RNAcentral